GUAGGGAAUCUUCCGCAAUGGACGAAAGUCUGACGGAGCAACGCCGCGUGAGUGAUGAAGGUUUUCGGAUCGUAAAGCUCUGUUGUUAGGGAAGAACAAGUGCCGUUCAAAUAGGGCGGCACCUUGACGGUACCUAACCAGAAAGCCACGGCUAACUACGUGCCAGCAGCCGCGGUAAUACGUAGGUGGCAAGCGUUGUCCGGAAUUAUUGGGCGUAAAGGGCUCGCAGGCGGUUUCUUAAGUCUGAUGUGAAAGCCCCCGGCUCAACCGGGGAGGGUCAUUGGAAACUGGGGAACUUGAGUGCAGAAGAGGAGAGUGGAAUUCCACGUGUAGCGGUGAAAUGCGUAGAGAUGUGGAGGAACACCAGUGGCGAAGGCGACUCUCUGGUCUGUAACUGACGCUGAGGAGCGAAAGCGUGGGGAGCGAACAGGAUUAGAUACCCUGGUAGUCCACGCCGUAAACGAUGAGUGCUAAGUGUUAGGGGGUUUCCGCCCCUUAGUGCUGCAGCU
Molecule: ribosomal RNA, 509 nt
Filed under: Bacillus velezensis
Lineage: Bacteria; Bacillati; Bacillota; Bacilli; Caryophanales; Bacillaceae
Description: bacterial SSU rRNA
Rfam family: Bacterial small subunit ribosomal RNA
Source: RNAcentral